RNAcentral lists this non-coding RNA (89 nucleotides) under unclassified sequences. The record is from RNAcentral.
GUUGAGCCGCCGCCGGGUGGCUAGUUAGAAAAGCGCGGAUUCGUAUCUUUAGGCCUUAGUAGAUACGAAUUGAGGCGCUUUUUGUCAUU